CACUAAGAAGCUAAUACGGGCCUAGCGUUAGCCUUUUAAGCUAAAGAAUGGUGCCUCCCAAACACCCUUAGUGA
Molecule: transfer RNA, 74 nt
Filed under: Canthigaster coronata (crowned puffer)
Lineage: Eukaryota; Metazoa; Chordata; Actinopteri; Tetraodontiformes; Tetraodontidae
Also listed under: 1 other name
Description: tRNA-Lys
Source: RNAcentral